AUACGGAGGGUGCAAGCGUUGUUCGGAAUUACUGGGCGUAAAGCGCGUGUAGGCGGCUUGGAAAGUCGGAUGUGAAAGCCCGAGGCUCAACCUCGGAACUGCAUUCGAAACUUUCAGGCUAGAGUCCUGGAGAGGAUGGUGGAAUUCCCAGUGUAGAGGUGAAAUUCGUAGAUAUUGGGAGGAACACCAGUGGCGAAGGCGGCCAUCUGGACAGUGACUGACGCUGAGACGCGAAAGCGUGGGGAGCAAACAGGAUUAGAUACCCCGGUAGUCC
Molecule: ribosomal RNA, 274 nt
Filed under: uncultured bacterium
Lineage: Bacteria
Description: partial 16S ribosomal RNA
Rfam family: Bacterial small subunit ribosomal RNA
Source: RNAcentral